UACGGAGGGUGCAAGCGUUAAUCGGAAUUACUGGGCGUAAAGGGAGCGUAGGUGGAUAUUUAAGUGGGAUGUGAAAUACUCGGGCUUAACCUGGGUGCUGCAUUCCAAACUGGAUAUCUAGAGUGCAGGAGAGGAAAGUAGAAUUCCUAGUGUAGCGGUGAGAUGCGUAGAGAUUAGGAAGAAUACCAGUGGCGAAGGCGACUUUCUGGACUGUAACUGACACUGAGGCUCGAAAGCGUGGGGAGCAAACAGG
Molecule: ribosomal RNA, 253 nt
Filed under: uncultured microorganism
Description: partial small subunit ribosomal RNA
Rfam family: Bacterial small subunit ribosomal RNA
Source: RNAcentral